This 734-nucleotide ribosomal RNA is filed under the name uncultured archaeon. Its description in RNAcentral is "bacterial SSU rRNA". It matches the Rfam family "Archaeal small subunit ribosomal RNA", at positions 102 to 835 of the family's 1478-position model. The record is from RNAcentral.
GGAUAAUCUACCCUUAGGACUGGGAUAACCCUGGGAAACUGGGGCUAAUACCGGAUAGGCAAUUUUUCCUGCAAUGGUUUUUUGUUUAAAUGUUUUUUCGCCUAAGGAUGAGUCUGCGGCCGAUUAGGUAGUUGGUUAGGUAAUGGCUUACCAAGCCGGUGAUCGGUACGGGUUGUGAGAGCAAGAGCCCGGAGAUGGAACCUGAGACAAGGUUCCAGGCCCUACGGGGUGCAGCAGGCGCGAAACCUCCGCAAUGUGAGAAAUCGCGACGGGGGGAUCCCAAGUGCCAUUCUUAACGGGAUGGCUUUUCAUUAGUGUAAAGAGCUUUUGGAAUAAGAGCUGGGCAAGACCGGUGCCAGCCGCCGCGGUAACACCGGCAGCUCUAGUGGUAACAAUUUUUAUUGGGCCUAAAGCGUCCGUAGCCGGUUUAAUAAGUCUCUGGUGAAAUCCUGUAGCUUAACUGUGGGAAUUGCUGGAGAUACUAUUAGACUUGAGACCGGGAGAGGUUAGAGGUACUCCCAGGGUAGAGGUGAAAUUCUGUAAUCCUGGGAGGACCGCCUGUUGCGAAGGCGUCUAACUGGAACGGUUCUGACGGUGAGGGACGAAAGUUAGGGGCGCGAACCGGAUUAGAUACCCGGGUAGUCCUAACUGUAAACGAUGCGGACUUGGUGUUGGGGUGGCUUUGAGCUGCUCCAGUGCCGAAAGGGAAGCUGUUAAGUCCGCCGCCUGGGAAG